CUCAGUUUCCUGUCUCACAUAAGGGGCCAAAGCCUGGGGUGAAGCUGUACGUCGGCAGCCCCAGCCCCAGAAAAGGAACCUACUCUCCAUGCACGUCUCUCUGGAGCAACCUGAAGACAGGAUCUUGGCCUCAGGACAGUUUUGCAGGCUGGGAAGUCCAAGAUAAAGCCACCAGCAUCUGACAAUGGCCUUCUUGCAACAUCCUCCAACAGAGAGGAACAACAUGUCCUCACAUGGCAGAAGAGCACAGAGGAAAAAGAAGACCAAACUCACUCUUUUAUAAGAGCAUUAAUCCCACAUAGGAAGGCAGAGCCCUCAUGGCCCU
This 325-nucleotide long non-coding RNA is filed under the name Homo sapiens (human). RNAcentral describes it as "PREDICTED lncRNA (TCONS_00044091)". Lineage: Eukaryota; Metazoa; Chordata; Mammalia; Primates; Hominidae. The record is from RNAcentral.